CCGGAGCUUGCUCCACCGGAAAAAGAGGAGAGGCGAACGGGUGAGUAACACGUGGGUAACCUGCCCAUCAGAAGGGGAUAACACUUGGAAACAGGUGCUAAUACCGUAUAACAAUCGAAACCGCAUGGUUUUGAUUUGAAAGGCGCUUUCGGGCGUCGCUGAUGGAUGGACCCGCGGUGCAUUAGCUAGUUGGUGAGGUAACGGCUCACCAAGGCCACGAUGCAUAGCCGACCUGAGAGGGUGAUCGGCCACAUUGGGACUGAGACACGGCCCAAACUCCUACGGGAGGCAGCAGUAGGGAAUCUUCGGCAAUGGACGAAAGUCUGACCGAGCAACGCCGCGUGAGUGAAGAAGGUUUUCGGAUCGUAAAACUCUGUUGUUAGAGAAGAACAAGGAUGAGAGUAACUGUUCAUCCCUUGACGGUAUCUAACCAGAAAGCCACGGCUAACUACGUGCCAGCAGCCGCGGUAAUACGUAGGUGGCAAGCGUUGUCCGGAUUUAUUGGGCGUAAAGCGAGCGCAGGCGGUUUCUUAAGUCUGAUGUGAAAGCCCCCGGCUCAACCGGGGAGGGUCAUUGGAAACUGGGAGACUUGAGUGCAGAAGAGGAGAGUGGAAUUCCAUGUGUAGCGGUGAAAUGCGUAGAUAUAUGGAGGAACACCAGUG
RNAcentral lists this ribosomal RNA (662 nucleotides) under bacterium enrichment culture clone WG_303. RNAcentral describes it as "bacterial SSU rRNA". It matches the Rfam family "Bacterial small subunit ribosomal RNA", at positions 73 to 714 of the family's 1533-position model. The record is from RNAcentral.